CCGGGGUGGCCGGACCAUGCCACCAACGACCGGAGCCGGUGUCAUGGGAGUCGGUGGGAGACGCGCUCGGAGAGAGAGAGAGAGACGAUGCUGGUAGUAGGCGUGGUGGGGAGGAGGAAGCUCAGGUGAUUGGUAUUUAUAGGCAGCGGCAGUCUCCGAUUCCUGGGCGGAGACGGGGAUGUAUCAUCGCAUUUUUGAGUCCUGGUACUGCUCGGAAUCGAAGUAGAUUC
Molecule: long non-coding RNA, 230 nt
Filed under: Elaeis guineensis (African oil palm)
Lineage: Eukaryota; Viridiplantae; Streptophyta; Magnoliopsida; Arecales; Arecaceae
Description: long non-coding RNA (EGUI_LNC031859)
Source: RNAcentral